AAGGCACCUGGGGAGGGGGAUGGAAUCACAAUAGACUACUGCAACUCCACCUCCUGGCCCCCCAGGUCUGGCCUGCUGAUGCAGAGAGAACCCAGGUGGGCUAAGUGGGAAGGACUAACUCCCCCAGCUUCAUCCAGCCAGGUCUCUUUAAUACAGGCCAGGCCAGCCUCCUCCUCCAGGAUCAGGUCCUGGAUGGCUGAUGUUGUCCCUUUUACUGACCUGGCAUUCAGCAGCAGCAACUGGAAAUCCUGAAAGCAGCUCAGUUUGCCAGGCCAAAAUCAGGUGAAAACAGAGUAUUUUGGCAUAGCAGUUUCAUUGAUAUGAAGCAUGUACAAAAGGAGCAAAGAAUUCCUUAUCUCAGGGGACCUGCUGACAUUGUUGCACUGACAAACACGCCAGUACUACUGUGUGGAGAAAUCUGACAUCUCUUGGACAAAUCCUAUCUAAUAAUGUUUAAAGAUGAAUCAGGUCUUAUAGAUCUUAUUUGUUUUGUUAAAAUUAUUUUAGGACAAAGGAAAGCAUCUCAGAUGUCUCAAAAAAUUCAUAUUAUUUUUCAUAAAAUAAAAAAUACACAUUUCACAACAGGUGAUGUUCCUCUGAAGUUUUUCUCCUUUGUAAAGGUCUAGUUUUACUUAACUAGGUUAAGAGUUAUUACAAAACAUGAAGACAUUCUAUUUUGUGAAUACACAUUAUGCUUAAAGUAAUGUGCAAAUUGUAAUUAGCAUUACCAAAGACCCAGCUGAUCUUCUUCAAGUACAAAGUGUGAUACUUUUAACAUCCGGAAAAAAAUUAGUAACUUAAUGGGGUUCCUAAGGCACUGCUUCUGAAACAGGAUAUUCUCAAAAGAACUGUUGAACAGGCCCCGUGAACAAUCUGAUUUUCACAUCCUCAAAAAAUAAAAUAAAAUAAAAUAAAAAAGA
This is a non-coding RNA of Pogona vitticeps (central bearded dragon), 920 nucleotides long. The record is from RefSeq and is a predicted model, not a curated record. NCBI's taxonomy places the organism in Eukaryota, Metazoa, Chordata, Lepidosauria, Squamata, Agamidae.